RNAcentral lists this long non-coding RNA (249 nucleotides) under Salvia miltiorrhiza (redroot sage). RNAcentral's name for it is "long non-coding RNA (SMIL_LNC013452)". The record is from RNAcentral. Lineage: Eukaryota; Viridiplantae; Streptophyta; Magnoliopsida; Lamiales; Lamiaceae.
UAAAUUACUAGCUACAAACCAAAAUUCAUCCCAUUUAAGCAUAUUUAGAUCCAACACACUUUCACGCAAAAACAAUACAAUAUUUCCACAGUUGAAAUCAUUUACAAAAGUUAUCAAACACAAUUAAUAACCAAUAAAAACAGAAAAAAGAAAAGAAAAGAAAGAAAAGAGAGAUCAUCUUUCAAUCUCCAUCUCGACACAUAAUCCCAAAACCUAAUUUUGAAUUACCUAUGUGCUAUGUUGUGCCGA